CUUAUACAAGUAGUUCCCAAUUAAUUUUGCACAUCUGCAACAUAUCAUAAUCCAGCAGAUACAACAAUGAAUUAGUGCAGUGGUUACUUCGAAAAAUUUGGUUCAGUGUAGUUUAUGAUUUUGCCAAACUGAUCAAACAGUGUUAGGCUAAUGAGAAUAAGUUCAGCACAUUGAUUGAAACAAAGCUUCUUAAAAUCAGAUUUUAAUCAGCUAUACAGAGUUCAGUUCAGUGGUAUUUGGAUUUGUCAGAAUGUUGCUGCACUGCUGCAGUCCUUGAAGAUUAUCCUUUUGUUCAGCUUCACAAUUGCCUGAAUCAACUUAAUCAUCAAAUAGAAGAGGGUUAGAUGCAGUGACAGUAACCAAUAUAAUAAGAAUUGUAGCAGCUUAAAACUGAUCACUCAUUUUCUCAACAAAGGUAACUUGGCUUUUAGGUGCAGCCACUCAAAUCUCACUUCUUGGACUGUUUCAGG
RNAcentral lists this long non-coding RNA (470 nucleotides) under Vigna radiata. Its description in RNAcentral is "long non-coding RNA (VRAD_LNC005148)". The record is from RNAcentral. Lineage: Eukaryota; Viridiplantae; Streptophyta; Magnoliopsida; Fabales; Fabaceae.